Hypanus sabinus (Atlantic stingray) is the source of this 2641-nucleotide long non-coding RNA. RefSeq lists it as uncharacterized. Lineage: Eukaryota; Metazoa; Chordata; Chondrichthyes; Myliobatiformes; Dasyatidae. The record is from RefSeq and is a predicted model, not a curated record. The transcript has 3 exons.
AUUCCUUCACAUUAACACCAGUAUUCUGUACUUCACAAGAUGGUAGUUUCAACUAUUUCAGUAGCCAGCCACUGAAGAAUUUACCGAUAUACCUCCUAAAGGAGGCAAAGGAAAAGCUUUAUGCUUAAAAAUAGGGCUUGUUUCCAAAAAGUGGUUGUUGUAACAUGCUCCGGAUCACACGCGCAGGCCAAUACAUCCCCACACAAAAAGAUCUAUUUAGACCUGCGGUUGAGAACAUACAAAGCAAACAAUUAUUCAGGCGUUCGUGCAGCGAGGAAGCUGCAUUCGCUCACGUACUCGCGAAUGAUUUACAAGCCACCAAAAAGGCACGACUCCGAAACCGCACGUAGACGCGAUGAUUCAGCGUGAGCCGAGAGGAGAGUGCGAGCGCAGAUACAGGGACCGGAGCCUGAGCCUGAGCCGGAGCCGGAGCCGCCUGCUGCUCGCCUUGCCCCCGACCAGGCGGUGCUGCGCACAGACAGUGGCUGCACGCGGCCAAUUGUUCUCCACAGCAAUGGGCAGCAGCCGGGGAAGAAUGCGGCUCCUGCCUUUGUGAUGGUCCUCCAGAAACGCCUCGUGCUAAAUCUCAUAGAGAUCAAAGAGUUAUGGAAGUCCUGACAACCUCUUUAGAAAGUCAGCAUAUAGAAGAAAUAAUGUUAUACUGUAGACUCUGAUGCAAAUAAUUCUACUUGGAUGAAGAAAUGAUGGCAUGGACCAAGGUGAAUGUUCUGCCAUUUCAAGAUACCUGAGACAAAAGAAAUUCUGGUGAAACCUAUAGAAAAAGGAGAAUAAACUUUACAGUUAAGCAGUGGGGAUGAGAGGCAGGAUAAUGGAAUGCUGCUCUUGCAGAAUAUGGGAAGGCAGGAAGACCUCCAGGAUGCCUGACAACUACACAUGUAAGAGGUGCAUCGGGCUUCAGCUUCUUUCAGAUCGUGCUAAGAAAUUGGAGCUGAAACUGGAUGAAAUCUGAAUCAUUCAGGAGGCUGAGGGGUUAAUAAGACAGAACAUACAGGGAAACAGUCACACCCAAGAUGCAGGACACAGCUAACUAUGUGACCAUCAGGAGGAGAAAAGGGGAUAGGCAGCUAGUGCAGAGUACCUCUGUGUUCAUUGCUAUCAACAACAGUUAGACCACUUUGGAUACUGUUGGGGGGAGGUGUAUGACCCAACACAGGAAGGCCACAGCAUCUGGGUGUCCAACACUGUGGCUAAGAAGGGGAGGGGAGAGAACAGGCAAGCUGCAGUGAUGGGAGAUACAUCGGUUGAGGAAAAGACUGGAGGUUCUGUGGAUGAGAGCUAGAUUCCUGUAUGGUAUGUUACAUCCUAGGUGCCAGGGUUAGUGACUUCUCGGAUCAAGUUCACAGCAUUCUUACAAACACAAGGAAAUCUGCAAAUGCUGGAAAUCCAAUUUGUGUGUAUGUUGCCACAGCAUUCUUCAGUGGUUGUGUGAGUAGCCAGAGUUCAUGAUCUCCAUUGCUACCAAUGACAUGAGUAGGAAGGGUGAUGUGGUCCUGCAAAGUAAGUUCAGAGAGUUGGGGGCAGUGAGACAGGAAUCAUGGUUGGGAAGAGGGAAAGGAGUGGAAAGCACCAGAAUGACAUUCUAUAAUGAUUGAUCAACCAUUUGUUUUGAAUUAAAUGACCUUGCUGGGUGUCUGUGUACUUGUGCCACUCCUUCUCUGCCACAUAUCCCACAUCCCUCCUGUGGCACUCAAAUCUGGCCAUUUCCAGCAUCAUUUACUCCCACCAGAUUUACAAACUUGCUCUGUGCUCCAUGUUGACACGUGCGGUAUUGUACUGUGCAAAAGUCUUUGGCAUGGACAUGGGUGCCUCAUAAUUUUGCACAGUAUUGUAUUAAGUGCAAAAGUUACAGGGAAAGGUUGAACAAGUUAGGUCUUUAUUCUUUGGAGCGUAGAAGGUUGAGGGGGGACUUGAUAGAGGUAUUUAAAAUUAUGAGGGGGAUAGAUAGAGUUGAUGUGGAUAGGCUUUUUUCAUUGAGAGUAGGGGAGAUUCAAACAAGAGGACAUGAGUUGAGAGUUAAGGGGCAAAAGCUUAGGGGUAACACGAAGGGGAACUUCUUUACUCAGAGUGGUAGCUGUGUGGAAUGAGCUUCCAGUAGAAGUGGUAGAGGAAGGUUUGGUAUUGCCAUUUAAAGUAAAAUUGUAUAGGUAUAUGGACAGGAAAGGAAUGGAGGGUUAUGGGCUGAGUGCAGGUUGGUGGGACUAGGUGAGAAAGUGUUCGGCACGGACUAGAAGGGCCAAAAUGGCCUGUUUCCGUGCUGUAAUUGUUAUAUGGUUAUUUGAUUGCCACCUUAUUUGAUAUAGGCAAAAGACUUCACUAUGUCAAGAUUAGAUGAAACCAUUGAUACUACUUUUCCUGUUGGGCAUGGUGACAGCACAUUCGGGUACUUAAACAACAGAUUUUUUGGUGUCCAGUUUGUUACAAUCAUGAAAGUUGAGUUCAGGUAAUUUGUCUUUUCCCACCUUGUCAGAUUGGACUUUCUAACAUUCUAAACUGGAUGAGGAAGUAGAAGAGUGCCAGAAAGAUAUGAGCAUUGAAAAUGUGAAAGAUGAACAUAAUUCAUUAUGGCUAUGUACUGUAUCAUCAUGUACUGUAGUGGUCCCCAACCACCGGGCCACAAGGA